AGAGGUUUAGGAUAAUAUUUUAAACCAAGAGCCUUCAAAGCCCUAAAUAAGAGUGAAAAUCUCUUAACCUUUA
Molecule: transfer RNA, 73 nt
Filed under: Aphyosemion australe (lyretail killifish)
Lineage: Eukaryota; Metazoa; Chordata; Actinopteri; Cyprinodontiformes; Nothobranchiidae
Description: tRNA-Trp
Rfam family: tRNA
About the family: Transfer RNA (tRNA) molecules are approximately 80 nucleotides in length.
Source: RNAcentral